GCCAUGUGAGUGUGAGAGAAGCAGUCAGGC
RNAcentral lists this non-coding RNA (30 nucleotides) under Mus musculus (house mouse). The record is from RNAcentral. Lineage: Eukaryota; Metazoa; Chordata; Mammalia; Rodentia; Muridae.